RNAcentral lists this ribosomal RNA (253 nucleotides) under uncultured bacterium. RNAcentral describes it as "partial 16S ribosomal RNA". It matches the Rfam family "Bacterial small subunit ribosomal RNA", at positions 524 to 776 of the family's 1533-position model. The record is from RNAcentral.
UACAGAGGGUGCAAGCGUUGCUCGGAUUUACUGGGCGUAAAGCGUACGCAGACGGUGAGAAAGGUCGGAUGUGAAAGCCCUGGGCUCAACCCUGGAACUGCAUCCGAAACCAUCUCGCUAGAGUAUGAGAGAGGGAAGCAGAAUUCCUGGUGUAGAGGUGAAAUUCGUAGAUAUCAGGAGGAAUACCGGUGGCGAAGGCGGCAUCCUGGACCGACAUUGACGCUGAUGAGCGAAAGCUAGGGGAGCAAACGGG